GGCGAGUGAAGCGGCAAGAGCUCAGAUUUGGAAUCGUGUUUCGGCACGAGUUGUAAAUUGCAGGUUGGAGUCUUUGUGGAAGCGUGUGUCCAAGUCCCUUGGAACAGGGCGCCAUUGAGGGUGAGAGCCCCGUGGGAUGCGCGCGGAAGCAGCAAGGCCCUUCUGACGAGUCGAGUUGUUUGGGAAUGCAGCUCUAAGCGGGUGGUAAAUUCCAUCUAAGGCUAAAUACUGGCGAGAGACCGAUAGCGAACAAGUACUGUGAAGGAAAGAUGAAAAGCACUUUGAAAAGAGAGUGAAACAGCACGUGAAAUUGUUGAAAGGGAAGGGUAUUGGGCCCGACAUGGGGAUUGCGCAUCUCUGCUCCUUGUGGGCGGGGCGCUGUGCUUUUCCUGGGCCAGCAUCGGUUUUUGCCGCAGGAGAAGGGGUACUGGAAUGUGGCUCCUCGGAGUGUUAUAGCCAGUGCCAGAUGCUGCGUGCGGGGACCGAGGGCUGCGACAUCUGUCUCGGAUGCUGGCACAACGGCGCAAUACCGCCCGUC
This 538-nucleotide ribosomal RNA is filed under the name Pichia pseudolambica. Its description in RNAcentral is "eukaryotic LSU rRNA". It matches the Rfam family "Eukaryotic large subunit ribosomal RNA", at positions 88 to 653 of the family's 3401-position model. The record is from RNAcentral. Lineage: Eukaryota; Fungi; Ascomycota; Pichiomycetes; Pichiales; Pichiaceae.